GGACAAGAAUAGGCUUCGGCUUUGCGUCUCAGCAGGCGAUUCGUCCACGGCCACGGAAGAGUGGUUUUGGUAUUUCGNGUAUUGUAAUUUCAACACGAGCGGGGUUAAAUCCUUUGCAGACGACUUAGCUGUGCGAAACGGUCCUGUAAGCAGUAGAGUAGCCUUGUUGUUACGAUCUGCUGAGGGUAAGCCGUCCUUCGCCCCGAUUUCCCAGUA
RNAcentral lists this ribosomal RNA (216 nucleotides) under Beauveria bassiana. RNAcentral describes it as "partial 28S ribosomal RNA". It matches the Rfam family "Eukaryotic large subunit ribosomal RNA", at positions 3184 to 3401 of the family's 3401-position model. Lineage: Eukaryota; Fungi; Ascomycota; Sordariomycetes; Hypocreales; Cordycipitaceae. The record is from RNAcentral.